GACGCUCUCUUCGGAGGGAGUGGCGCACGGGUGAGUAACACGUGGGAACCUACCCUGAGGUACGGAAUAACCGUUGGAAACGACGGCUAAUACCGUAUGUCCCCUUUGGGGGAAAGAUUUAUCGCCUUGGGAUGGGCCCGCGGUCGAUUAGCUAGUUGGUGUGGUAAUGGCGCACCAAGGCGACGAUCGAUAGCUGGUCUGAGAGGAUGAUCAGCCACACUGGGACUGAGACACGGCCCAGACUCCUACGGGAGGCAGCAGUGGGGAAUAUUGGACAAUGGGCGCAAGCCUGAUCCAGCCAUGCCGCGUGAGUGAUGAAGGCCUUCGGGUUGUAAAGCUCUUUCAGGUGGGACGAUGAUGACGGUACCACCAGAAGAAGCCCCGGCUAACUUCGUGCCAGCAGCCGCGGUAAUACGAAGGGGGCUAGCGUUGUUCGGAAUCACUGGGCGUAAAGCGCGCGUAGGCGGUCAUGCCAGUCAGGGGUGAAAGCCCAGGGCUCAACCCUGGAACGGCCUUUGAUACUG
Molecule: ribosomal RNA, 524 nt
Filed under: Roseospira sp. JA907
Lineage: Bacteria; Pseudomonadati; Pseudomonadota; Alphaproteobacteria; Rhodospirillales; Rhodospirillaceae
Description: bacterial SSU rRNA
Rfam family: Bacterial small subunit ribosomal RNA
Source: RNAcentral